CUGCAAAUAUUCUCGCUUUUCUGAUUCUGUGAUACUCAGGAUGGGCUAAACAUUCGCCCUGACAAGACCACGUGUGUGCGCUCAGACCUAGUUUUUAUCUACCUCAGUCUGGUCUGAGAAAUGCCGGUGAUAAAU
Sorex fumeus (smoky shrew) is the source of this 135-nucleotide small nucleolar RNA. RefSeq annotates it as small nucleolar RNA SNORA72. NCBI's taxonomy places the organism in Eukaryota, Metazoa, Chordata, Mammalia, Eulipotyphla, Soricidae. The record is from RefSeq and is a predicted model, not a curated record. The transcript has a single exon.